Long non-coding RNA from Oreochromis niloticus (Nile tilapia), 512 nucleotides. RefSeq lists it as uncharacterized. Lineage: Eukaryota; Metazoa; Chordata; Actinopteri; Cichliformes; Cichlidae. The record is from RefSeq and is a predicted model, not a curated record. The transcript has 3 exons.
UCUCUGCUACUUUCAUUAUGUUUGUGGUAUUUGUUUGUCAAAUACACGCUCAGAUCCAGUCAGCUGAGUCAGUCCGGGAAUGUGGUUGCCACGGUGAUGCUAUGAAGUCAAACUGGUCUAAGGUGUUUUGUAUGAAACAGCUGACAAGGAAAUACAGGUUAGAUUGUUCACUGGGGCUGUUUAGUGCAGCCAGAGACCAAAUCACUAUCGUCAAAGUUUGUUUCCUUUCUUUUUUCUAUUUGCUCUCAGUGGAUAAUUUUCCAUCCUGAUGAUCAGACGAGUGUUUGAGGGUUUCAGAGAUCCUUCAGAACAACAUGAUGGGUCUGAUCCUAUGACAACUGGGAUAGGCUCCGCCUGUGACCCUGAUAAGGACCGGCUGAAGAGAAUGGAUGGAUGGAAGUGACAGAAACACGUACCCAGACGGGAACAUUGUGUCUGAGCCCAAACACUGAAACACAGAAAUAUGUUCAGACUGUGGCUUAAAGUUUCUGCUUCACCAGUAACAUGAGAUC